UGAGGAAAAGCUUCGGUGGAUGAGGAUGGAAGGAUAAGGAUUCUCCAUAACCAAGCUUGAGUGUGUGUGUGUGUGCGUGCUCUCUCGGGCUUCUUGUUGCUUGCAACUUGCCCGGUCUACUGUGCGCGACUGAUGCGUUGCUAGGCACGGGACUUGCUUAGUGGCUAUAGAUUAUAGUGCUGUAAAGUGGUAGAAGAAAUUGGACUCUGUCGUUUCGUGGUGUCUCAAAUCUACCGGGCAGAACGAUUAAGACAAGCAAAUUGAGUGUGGUGUGUGGUGCGAUGCGAGGUUGCAGGGAUCGAAUGGCUUGGCUACGCUGUCGUGUGCUUCACAACCAGCAUCUGAUCCAUGCGCUUUCCUCCUGAGCGGCAUCUGGAUUCAAAGCAUCUCGCACGUUCCGGGUAGUGUCUAGUGUUGUAUGACAUCAGAGCGCAGUAUCUGUGACGCGUCAUCACGAGUGCCCCGACGUUGAUAUAAUCUAACGACAAAGUGAAUCUUGCCGUGCCUAGAGGACCAGCAAAGAAUGGCACUCGUAAAAUUCGCAAGUGCGACUAAGUUAUGCUUCUACUGGAGGUGUCACUGAGAUCUGGCUCCAGUGGUUUUGAAUUCCGUCGGAGCUCCCUGGAGGACAAUCUUGAAUGCACGAUGGAGAUCCUAUUUGCGUAAUAGUGCCUCUGAAAGAACGUGAUCGUAUUGGCAACUUGCUGCAACGUUCAAGAGAAUCACACAUGAAAGUCCAAUUGUGCUUCAUUAAUAGGAUGAUGGAUUUUUUGUUAUCUCUCCUACAAAAGUUAAGAAUCGUUUGAUUUACUUCCCGCCAGGCCCUUAAAACUUGCUCAAGGACUUGAGUAUUGCACCACCAAUUGGGAGCAGCUUGCUGUACCCCCAGCAUGCAUAUCUACAUUUACUCGAGUUGAAAGUACUGCACCUCAAUCACAUAAUUCACAGAUUUAUUUCUAAGGCUCGCCUCCUCUGUCUAACUUGUGCGAAACCAGCAGAUACUUCCAUGGAAAGUGGCACCAACGUUCGCAUCCCUGCCUCCAUCAAUGACCCGUUGUACAGUAGAAACUCUGCGCAAAUUGCCUGAAAAUUUUUCUGACGCUUAAUAGCGUCAUCCUUUCGCAGGGCUCGAGGUGUGGGAACAACAAGAAGGAUUUUCGAGGUAUUAAACUGCAGGAGAUAGUUUACGCUACUGGAUCAGCUCGUUAAAUGGCUGAACAUAGUUGUCAGCUAUUAAAACAAGUAUGGCUUCCGCGCUGAAAACUUCAGUGAAUCUAUAUGAAUUCAGUUCCCAUCCCCCAAGCACGAUCCCAACUGAUUGAUAUAUAUAUAUAUAUAUAUAGAGAGAGAGAGAGAGAGAGAGAGAGAGAGUAGAAACUACAGCUCCCAUAUAAUUUGGCGUCUUGGUCGCAACUAACGCCCUGGUGUGGAUGCUCUUCUCUCGGACCAGGCUAUCCUUUCAAGUUGCGGCCAUUAUCACGUCCUUUAGGUUGUGUAUCCCCCUAAAUGAAUUUACUCCGAAGUAUCUCGUCACCUAAAUACUUGCAACAUAUCUUCUAUUCUUUGAUUUCACGGAUUCCCUGAUUUGAUGUCUCCCAGGCAGCGGAAUUUCAAUGUCGAAUCGGGAAGAAGUAGGCAUCUGAUGUUCGACUGUUCCCAAGAUUGAUGCAUUUUCUCGGUAUCAUUGGUACAAUACUUGUAUUCAUUAAUGCUGAAGAAAACGCGGAGCUCGAGGUUCUACUCGAACACUAGAAGCUCUAUUAUGUUCUCGCAUUUGGAGUAGUUGAAGUAGGCGUUCGUGAAGAAGUGAGGGAAUUUUGCUGAGGAACGCCAUUCCUUGCCGUUUGCGUACCAUGGAACGCCCGGGUGCAGAUGACCUGACGUCAACUUGUAACAAUCGCAGUCAAGCGCAGGUAAAUUCGAAGGUUGCCUCUGAUCAACCGCUUCCUCUGGAGCGCAACGAAAUAUUUUACAGCUGCAAUUUUUAUACGGCGUUGACAGAGUGGAAGGCAGAAGGGACAUGUGGGAAAUGAUCGACAAAUAGCUGUUGAAUUUAAAGAAAUUCGAGAGACAAGGGAAUAUUUCGAGAAAGACCCUGAAGAAUACCGCAAUCUGCUAUAUGUUUGCCUGAAAUCUAAUGGGUUCAGCUCUAGCUAUACAAUCCAGUCACACUCCGUUUCCUUCUGAACAACUCAAAUACGAAAACCUUAUUCAACUUCGCAGAAAAUGUGAGUAUAGGAGCAACGUUUCAAUAGAUCCAAAACCUAGGUCCAGCACCAUUGUCGACUCCGGAAUCAAAGCUUCCAUCCACUCUUGGCAACCGAGAGGUCGCCAAACCUUCGUCAAUACACGUAGUUCUAUUCACGAAGAUUAACUGCGUUACAAAAGACAUUGCAAGACCACUUCCGGCCAAUUUUUUCAAAACAGGAUUUUCCCAAAACAUAAUUGCGAGAUGACUGCUGCAUGUUCACAAUAUGAUGAUGCCACGAUGAAACGGUUGCACGAAUACUGCGGUACAGCGUCACUCACGCUCGUGAAUGCGGAAAGAUCUGCAAGAGUUAGUGACUGGGACUCGAAUGCGCAAAGCCCUCACAUGCAACGUGGAAGGCAGGUAAUCCGUAAUUUCGUCUAAAAUAUUAAUUAUUAACUCCUCGGAGAUCUAAACAAGAGUAACUGUCGUUGUUAGUGAUUACGUGACCCCAAUCUUACUUGUGCUUCAAACAAUUGUUUGAUGACAUGUUGCAACAGAGAAACUCUAGUAGUAAUUGAAUAAGAAAACCAUGUAGUAGGUUCCAACUUGCUUCCCGUAAGUUCCUUUGGAUUCUUUUAGUUGGUACCGUGCCAGGCCACUGCAUCGUGUCACGUCACCUGCUCCAAGUCUUUCUGUGAUUCCGAGGCUGUUCGUGAAGAGAGCAUCACACGUCGAUAACCCGGAUGCGUUACAAAGUAUCCCAUUUCUAGAGAAACGUCACAGCCACGCAUUUGUCACCUUGUGAGUUAGCUCGAUUGUUGGAUCGGCAGGAUAAUGGUGGAGGAUACUUUCGGAUCUGCUGAAAAUUUGAUGGAGUUCAAGAACGUUGGUGAUGGAGUUGAUGCAGGGACUGAAAACAUUUGUUUUGAAGAACAGGGUUUCAUCCGCAUUGUCUUUAUCUGAGUGCAGGUGUUCCUUCCCUUGUAAUGGAAGCCUGAGCUAUGUAAUCCGAUUCUGCGAAUAAUUUAGCCAGUCAUAGGGAGGGAUACCAUAAAUGUCAUCAGGGUCUUCGUAACUGCAUGCUACCGAACUUGUUGCAAAAUUCACGCGCUCGGUAUCUGGAAAUUAUAUGAGAGAUUGGUCUUUGCAAUUGUGAGUUGAAGAACCGGGAGCAAGAGCUUUACAAUCUAUUCCUCAAAAUGAAAAGAAUUAUGUGCAGGCUUGAGCUGGUUUUGUUCCUCUGUUUCUUCGCUAUCUUUGUAUGCUUCACGAGUUUUAACAGCGCGAAAUUUCUGAAACAUUACAACUCCAUCGUUUAUGUCUCCGAUGGUACGGGGACGAAAUUGUUAAAGAGCACACUGGCUAAUUGUAAUUGUACAGUUUGCGCGGCUUGCCCGCCUGCGGAAACAGUGGUUGUGGAAAAAGUAAUUGUUAAGGAGGUAGUCAAGAAAGAGGAAUGCGGCAACAAUGAAGGUCCAUGGUAUGCGGAAGGCAAAACAUGGCACUAUCCAGCAAGGUUCCCUCUCUGCUCCAUGGAUGUAUGCUUCAAUUAUACGAAAUGCGACAGCUCCGAGGAUCCCUUAAUCUUCACGUAUGAUUUGCCCGCUCCACCGAAGCGAUAUUUCUCCCGCAUCGGUGAGUUCAAGUAUUACACGAACGAUCCUGCAAAAGCCUGUCUCUUCCUCGUAUUUCUUGACGGCGACACUCCGUGGCCGCCGCAUCCGAGUACUCUACCAUAUUGGAACAAAGGGCUGAACCAUGUUUUGGUGAUAUUCGCGGACAAGUGGCACCAGAGAGGACCGCACCAGGCUUCAAUUGGCAAUGCAUCUGUGAUGGCGAGUGAUAUGCACGAGACAACGUACCGACCAGGGUUUGAUGUCAGUAUCCCUUUGCCAGGGCGCCAUCACGUGAGGCGAUUUCAGUCCGUGAAACCUCUUGAAAGGAAAUACCUGGCCACAUUUCGGGGGUUGCGGUACUUGGGACCGAAGGGGGAGGGAGUGUUCAGGAGUUUGGAUUCAUUUCGGGGAAUGCACAAUGGAAACGACGUGAUAGUAGCCACGUCGUGUGAGCAUAUGAUCAACAACAUGAUCCGGAAGAAGGAGCCAACAUUAGGUGUUCACUGUGACGAAGACUUGUUGAUACAUAAGAACUAUACUUUCGAUGAUCUCAUGAACACCACGUUUGGAUUAGUUCCGGCAGGAGUUCAACCAGCGAGCUACAGAUUUAUAGAGGUACUGAGCGCAGGAGCCAUUCCCGUGUUAAUAGCUGAUAAUUAUGUCAAGCCCUUCGAUACUUUGAUCUUGUGGUACAAGUGUCUCUUGCAAUUUCCAACCACAGAGAUGCAUCGUAUUGUAGGCACUCUCCGGGCCAUGAAACCGGAGGAGGUCAAGAUCAGGCAAGAAAACUGCUUGGCGAUUUACAACAAGUACCUUAAGGAUGACGAAACCCUGCUGCAAACUGCUAUUCAAGCUUUGAAGGCCAGAUUUCUUGGUGCUAUACCAGGUUUUACAGAUAUUACCAGAAAACGGUGAUUUGAAUUAUGCAUUGGACUCGGACUAAGAAUGUUCCAAAUGGUCGUUGAGGAAACACACUAGCUGAAGGCACUUGGCAAUUUUCAGUUGUGAUGUGAUCUGUAGAAGCUUGCAAUUCUGGCUUCGAGGUUGGUUCUCUUGCGACAUCUUCCCGCAUAAUGCAAUGUAGUGUAAACACUUACAAGCUGUCGUGUGCGAUCGUAGAUUCACUGUAGCUACCACAGCUGAUCAUCAUUGUUAAGAUCCUCUCCAGGGACAGCUAUUCAGAGACGAGUGCUGGAACUUCCGGAACAACGACCAGGAGCUUUUUUAACCACAAACAGACACAACGGAAUAACAAAUAGACAUCAAUUAAA
Molecule: non-coding RNA, 5078 nt
Organism: Physcomitrium patens
Lineage: Eukaryota; Viridiplantae; Streptophyta; Bryopsida; Funariales; Funariaceae
Source: RefSeq, a predicted model, not a curated record